CCUAGUAUUGACCGUACCCUAAACCGACACAGGUGGAUUGGUAGAGUAUACCAAGGCGAUUGAGACAACUGCGUUGAAGGAACUCUGCAAAUUACUCUCGUAACUUCGGGAUAAGAGAGCUUCUGAUUUGGGCAACCAGAUCAGAGGGGCACAGAAAUGGGGGUUGCGACUGUUUACUAAAAACACAGGGCUCUGCGAAGUGGUCAACACGACGUAUAGGGUCUGACGCCUGCCCGGUGCCGGAAGGUUAAGAGGAGAUGUGCAAGCAUUGAAUCGAAGCCCCGGUAAACGGCGGCCGUAACAAUAACGGUCCUAAGGUAGCGAAAUACCUUGUCGGGUAAGUUCCGACCUGCACGAAUGGCGUAACGACUUCCCCGCUGUCUCCAACGCAGACUCAGCGAAAUUGAAAUCUCCGUGAAGAUGCGGAGUUCCCGCGGCUAGACGGAAAGACCCCGUGCACCUUUACUGCAACUUUUCACUGGUACUAGACAAUGGAUGUGUAGAAUAGGUCGGAGACUUUGAAGCCGGGGCGCUAGCCUUGGUGGAGUCACCGUUGAAAUACGACCCUUUCGUUGUCUGGUAUCUAACCGCGUCCCAUUAGCUGGGAUCGGGACACUGAAUGGUGGGCAGUUUGACUGGGGCGGUCGCCUCCGAAAGAGUAACGGAGGCGCGCGAUGGUGGGCUCAAGCCGGUCGGAAAUCGGCUGUUGAGUGCAAGAGCAUAAGCCCGCCUGACUGCGAGACUGACAAGUCGAGCAGAGACGAAAGUCGGUUCUAGUGAUCCGGUGGUUCUGAAUGGAAGGGCCAUCGCUCAACGGAUAAAAGGUACGCCGGGGAUAACAGGCUGAUACCCCCCAAGAGUCCACAUCGACGGGGGUGUUUGGCACCUCGAUGUCGGCUCAUCACAUCCUGGGGCUGGAGCAGGUCCCAAGGGUAUGGCUGUUCGCCAUUUAAAGUGGUACGUGAGCUGGGUUUAGAACGUCGUGAGACAGUUCGGUCCCUAUCUACCGUGGGUGUUGGAAACUUGAGAGGAUUUGUCCCUAGUACGAGAGGACCGGGAUGAACGCACCUCUGGCGUACCAGUUGUUCUGCCAAGAGCAUCGCUGGGUAGCUAUGUGCGGACGGGAUAACCGCUGAAUGCAUCUAAGCGGGAAACCCACCUCAAAACCAGGUUUCCCUUGAGAACCGUGAUAGACUAUCACGUUGAUAGGCUGGGUGUGGAAGCGCCGCGAGGCGUGAAGCUAACCAGUACUAAUUGUUC
RNAcentral lists this ribosomal RNA (1260 nucleotides) under metagenome. RNAcentral's name for it is "bacterial LSU rRNA". It matches the Rfam family "Bacterial large subunit ribosomal RNA", at positions 1631 to 2910 of the family's 2925-position model. The record is from RNAcentral.